UGCCAGCAGCCGCGGUAAUACGGAGGAUGCAGGCGUUAUCCGGAUUUAUUGGGUUUAAAGGGUGCGCAGGCGGGACGAUAAGUCAGUGGUGAAAUCCUACAGCUUAACUGUAGAACUGCCAUUGAUACUGUUGUUCUUGAGUACAGUUGAGGUAGGCGGAAUGUGUCAUGUAGCGGUGAAAUGCUUAGAUAUGACACAGAACACCGAUUGCGAAGGCAGCUUACUAAACUGUUACUGACGCUGAGGCACGAAAGCGUGGGGAGCGAACAGGAUUAGAUA
Molecule: ribosomal RNA, 279 nt
Filed under: uncultured bacterium
Lineage: Bacteria
Description: partial 16S ribosomal RNA
Rfam family: Bacterial small subunit ribosomal RNA
Source: RNAcentral